AUUCUUCCCAAGCAGUCUCCUUCUAGCACCUAUCAGCCCUAUCCUAGCCACAAAUUUAUUUCAUAACAAUGACAGUAUUUUGGGUACACUAAUAAUUAGUGAUUUGUUUCAAUGACAGCCAAAUAAUUGACUCAUAAGCUGAUGAGCUGGUUCUCCUUCAAGCUUUCUACAGUAUACUUUAGGCACCUCCAGCGGAGUGAAGUGAAUACCCAAGCUUUUUGGAUUUCUCCUGGGACACCUGGAAGGCUGGCACAUAAGACAACAAGAACAUGCAGUAAAGAGUGCCAAAAGAGGAGGGGGCGCACCCUACGAAUACAGAGAGAAGCUCAACCAGUAUCAAUGAAAGGUUUAAAUAGCUCAGCCACAAAUUUUGAAUAUGUGCAUCCUCUUUGUUCUCUUCCCACAAAGAUAUUCCUUCGAUUUAGUGAAACAGUCCUAGUUUUCUUUAUGCCAUUCUACUGUUGUUCCUA
This is a long non-coding RNA of Vitis vinifera (wine grape), 470 nucleotides long. RefSeq lists it as uncharacterized. The transcript has 2 exons. The record is from RefSeq and is a predicted model, not a curated record. NCBI's taxonomy places the organism in Eukaryota, Viridiplantae, Streptophyta, Magnoliopsida, Vitales, Vitaceae.